This 433-nucleotide ribosomal RNA is filed under the name uncultured Streptococcus sp. Its description in RNAcentral is "bacterial SSU rRNA". It matches the Rfam family "Bacterial small subunit ribosomal RNA", at positions 948 to 1382 of the family's 1533-position model. Lineage: Bacteria; Bacillati; Bacillota; Bacilli; Lactobacillales; Streptococcaceae. The record is from RNAcentral.
AAUUCGAAGCAACGCGUAAGAACCUUACCAGGUCUUGACAUCCCGAUGCUAUUUCUAGAGAUAGAAAGUUACUUCGGUACAUCGGUGACAGGUGGUGCAUGGUUGUCGUCAGCUCGUGUCGUGAGAUGUUGGGUUAAGUCCCGCAACGAGCGCAACCCCUAUUGUUAGUUGCCAUCAUUCAGUUGGGCACUCUAGCGAGACUGCCGGUAAUAAACCGGAGGAAGUGGGGAUGACGUCAAAUCAUCAUGCCCCUUAUGACCUGGGCUACACACGUGCUACAAUGGUUGGUACAACGAGUUGCGAGUCGGUGACGGCGAGCUAAUCUCUUAAAGCCAAUCUCAGUUCGGAUUGUAGGCUGCAACUCGCCUACAUGAAGUCGGAAUCGCUAGUAAUCGCGGAUCAGCACGCCGCGGUGAAUACGUUCCCGGGCCUU